UGGGGAAUCUUGGACAAUGGGCGCAAGCCUGAUCCAGCCAUGCCGCGUGAGUGAUGAAGGCCUUAGGGUUGUAAAGCUCUUUUUGCCGGGGACGAUAAUGACGGUACCCGGAGAAUAAGUCCCGGCUAACUUCGUGCCAGCAGCCGCGGUAAUACGAAGGGGACUAGCGUUGUUCGGAAUCACUGGGCGUAAAGCGCACGUAGGCGGAUUUGUAAGUCAGGGGUGAAAUCCCGGGGCUCAACCUCGGAACUGCCUUUGAUACUGCGGAUCUCGAGUCCGAUAGAGGUGAGUGGAAUUCCUAGUGUAGAGGUGAAAUUCGUAGAUAUUAGGAAGAACACCGGUGGCGAAGGCGGCUCACUGGAUCGGUACUGACGCUGAGGUGCGAAAGCGUGGGGAGCAAACAGGAUUAGAUACCCGUGUAGUCCCUGAGCGGGCUGGCAAGGCGCAU
Molecule: ribosomal RNA, 448 nt
Filed under: uncultured bacterium
Lineage: Bacteria
Description: bacterial SSU rRNA
Rfam family: Bacterial small subunit ribosomal RNA
Source: RNAcentral